CUACGCGGAAGUAAACCGCAGUGCCUUCACGCCGCUGCGUUUUUCAUCCGUGAGAAAAUGUCAGCUGCUAUUCGGCGUUCGGUUGUUGCUGUUGAGGAUGUUGAGCUGGUUUGACGGCAAAAACUUGGGCCACGAGUGACUUCACUCGGUCGAUUACACGGACCAUGAUCUGAGCUGCGAAAAACCCCACUGCCAUGUCUCAGCCGGAGUCUGAAGUCACUGUGUGGGACUGGUUAAGUGGUCUUCGCCUCGAACAGUAUUCCAAAGCAUUUGAAGUUGCAGGCCUGUCCACUUUAGCAGAAUGCCAUAACCUCACACCAGGUCGGCUGGAGCAGAUGGGAAUAGCGCUUCCGGGCCACCGGAGACGCAUCCUGGCCAGUCUGAACAAAAGUCGCGAUGUCGCCUCUCCGCAAAUGAACUCGCAGUCCAUCUUUGGACUGGCCACGAGAGCAGAGCAAGAGCAACCGUUGGAGGAGAAUGGACCUUUGACCGGUAGAGCGAGUUCCGGACAGCAGGAAAAACAUUUUCCGAACGAGGCUGAGAAAGAAAACGCACGGGACCCGGAACUCGUACCCGGAGAGAGAGAGAAACCAGUCCCGAGGGAUAGACAAGUGUCAAGGAUGAAGGAGGAAACUGGAGGGCAAGGGAGGCUGGCAACUCUUGAGCAUAAGGAAGAGGAUGCAACUGCAGAGAAACAGAGGCCAGUCCCAAAAGAGAGGACAAGGUUUCGCUCCAGUGCUCCAGUCCUAUCCAGUUCUCCACCCAGCUCCCUCACUCACCCAUUUUGCGACACCUCUUUGCCGCCGGUGCCCCCACGGAGUACUUUGAACUGCCCACCGCAACGUUUCACGUUGGCUUUGACGUACUCAGCCCCGGCACAGAACUCCACCUCACCUCAAGGCGCAGAAUCUGUCAUCAAGGAGGCAGCAUUUCGGGUUCACUCUACGCCCCACACCUUAACCCAGGACCCCACACAAGAAACUGUCCGCCAACCUCGGGCCCCCCACCCCCAAACUCAGCCUCAUUCGUUAUCCGUUGAUUUCCACGCCCAAGAUUCAAGAAGCGAUACGACGGCAACGUUGUCCCCCGUGACCGUCUCCGGUUCCCCCAAGGAAGAGAGAAACGCUCCACCUCUCCCUCCAAAAACUGGGUCAGCACCAAGAGGCCCACCAAAAAUUCCAAGUAGGCACCCUCUGCUGCCUUCCAGAAUUGAGAACCCCCCUCGUAGCAAGGCUGAUGAACUUCUUCAAGACCAAUCUCCAACCGUUCCACCUCGUAUCGUGACUUCUCAAACUCAAGAGGUCAUGCAGCAGUCGAGCCGACCUGCCCCCCAAGCGGCCCGGCCUCCUCCGGGUGUCCCCCACCUUCCUCCUCAGACAACGCUGUGCCCAGCAGAUGACGAUUCGGACGACUACGAAGAGGCCGACGCAUCUUACGCCAGCAUUCUUCCGGUGAACCCAUUAGACCGGGAAAUGUCCCUACAAGUGCCUCUUCAAGCAAAAGGCCGGUACAGUUCUUUAUGCAGCGAUGACGAGCUAUUAGGCGACGACGAGCCGAGCGUUUGGGAAGAACCGGGCCUGAGCGACCUGCAAGCGAGCAUCUUUCUGCCCAACGCUGGCAGACUGGCAUCAGCCCCGAAAGAAGGCAGCUCCCACCUCGCCGCCGUCAUCAAGAUGGGCUGGCUCGACAAGAACCCACCGCAAGGGGCCCUUUACUAUCAGAGGCGGUGGGUCAAGCUCGACGUUGACUACCUGCGAUACUUCGACAACGACAAGCAAGUCUAUUCCAAGGGAAUCAUUCCGACCGCAUCGAUAACGAACGUGACGAGCGUUGGGGAGCUGAAAUUUGAGGUCAUCACAAGCAAUCGGACGUUUAUCUUCAAGGCCGAAAGUGACGCUGAGAGAAAGGAGUGGGUGACUGUGCUGCAGGACUGCACAAGGGGGCGCCAGAGACGCAGUACCUUAAGCCCCGGUUCACCUUUGAUUCCGGAGUUCAAAGGCUAUUUGGAGCUCAAAGGUCUCCGCUCGAAACUUUAUACAGUUGUGACUUCAGAUAAGGUCUUCCUCUACAAAAACAUGGAGGACUACCGAGUUGGAGUGGGUAUCACGUCGAUCGAGAUGAAUGUCGGAAAUGUCAAAGUCACGGAUCGCCGCGGCUUUGAUCUCACCACGCCGUACCGGAUUUUCAGUUUCGUAGCAGAGUCCGAGCAGCUGAAAGAUCAGUGGGUGGACGCGAUGAGAGAAUCCAUCGAUGAGGCUUUGUCCAAUCGGGAGGUCGCUGAUCGAAUAUGGGCGGAGCCGAGCAACAGCUUCUGCGCCGACUGCGGCACCCCUAAACCGGAAUGGGCCGCCAUCAACCUGUGCGUGGUGGUCUGCAAGCGAUGCGCAGGAGAGCACCGAGGACUGGGCCCUAACAUCUCUAAGGUUCGGAGUCUGAAAAUGGACAGGAAAGUCUGGACCCAAGAGCUCAUACAGGUGUUCUCGUCGCUCGGCAACGACCGGGUCAACGGUUUCUGGGCGGCGAACGUCCCGCCGAGCGAGGCGCUCUCGCCUUCCAGCUGCAGUGACGACCGGCGGCGUUUCAUCACCAACAAGUACCGCCAUGGCAAAUACAGGAAGUACCACCCGUUAUACGGAAACCAGAAAGAGCUGAAUAACGCCUUGUGCAUAAACGUGCAGUGCAGCGAUGUGCUGGAGACGUUGAGCCUGAUUUUCUGCGGCGCCGACGUCAAUUGUUCAACGGGCAUGGCCAGUUGUCCCACGCCUCUCUCCUUAGCCAACACGCACGCGCAACCCUUGCAAGCUGUUUUACUGAGCCACAACCUGAACACGGCUCUUCCUCAGUCAGAGGUGGAGAGUGGGAUGGACGAAGUUCACUUUCCGGCCCCAACUUGUGUUUAUCACAACGGCUUCCUGUUCAAGACUGGAUCUAUGGCGAGGCCUGUCACAGAGCGCAAGGCCAGAGAGGAGUUCAGUCGACGCUGGUGUACACUUAAUGAGGGCACGUUCAGCUACUAUGAGAGUGACAAGAACUCCAAUCCGAAUGGCGCUCUGAGAGCCUCGGAGAUCGUUUGCUUGGCUGUGGAUGUACCGGACAAACACGGGUACGAACACACGUUUGAGCUCUACUCAGAGUCCGACCGUCUUUAUUUAUUCGGCACCGACGACCCGAACGGCCACAAAGAAUGGAUCAAGUCCAUUGCCAAGAGCGUCAUCCCAGCCAGAGCCGAGCCUCUGCUGAGGUUAAGUUUUGAGCGCAUCGGGCGGCUCAAAUGCAAGGACGGGCUGAACCUGCAGACCUCCAAGGUGGGCUGGUUCGCCCUGGUGGGCUCCACGCUUCACGCUUACCUGAACGACAGCCGGGAAGAAGAGAUACGCCUUCGCAAACUCAACGAACUCUCAAUCCAGCAAGAUAACGGAGUAUUAGUUUUGGUGGAGAGAGGAAGAACGCUGUACAUAGAGGGAGAGAGGAAGCUGGAUUUCGCCGGCUGGUGCGCCGCCAUCCAGUCGGCGGCGGGGAGCGGAGGCGACACGCUGAGUCAGCAGCAGCUGACCGACACGGACAUACCGGUCGUCGUCCACAGCUGCGUUGACUACAUCACGCAAUGCGGCUUAACGUCGGAGGGGAUCUACCGCAAGAGCGGCGUGAACUCGCGCGUGGCGGCGCUGUGCGAGCGCUUCCGCCGAGACGCUCGCAGCCUCCGGCUGAAGGAAGGCGAGCACCAGGUGGACGACGUCUCCAACACGCUCAAGCGCUUCUUCAGGGAGUUGGAAGAAGGCCUUUUCACGUCCGAAGACGGCGGCACCUGGCUCACGACCGCCGCCAUCCAGGAUGAAAGUGUGAAAAUCUCCCAGUACCAGAAGCUCUUGAACAAACUCCCUCGCGUCAACAGGGCGACGCUUCGGGCCCUGAUCAAUCACUUGUACUGUGUGCAGCGCUUCUCCGAGCUGAACCAAAUGAAUCUCCACAACUUGGCCAUCGUGUUCGGGCCGACGCUCUUCCAGACGGACGGGCAGGACUACACGGCGGGCCGUGCGAUCGAGGACCUCAUCCAGUACUACACGCUCGUCUUCGAGGUGGAUGAGCAACAAUUGAAAAAGCAGCUGGAAGAGAUCACGGUUAUUAUCCAAGUGCGCGAGAAAUUGAACACAAAAUUUCCCAGCACCGAACCCGGCGGGCAUUUCAUCUGCACAGUUUACUUGGAGGAAAAGAAGGACACCGCCGAACAACACGUCAAGAUCCCGGCGUCCAUGACGUCGGCGGAACUCACCUGUGAGAUUCUGGACAGACGCAACAUUCCCGUUAAAGACAAAGAGUACUGGAACUGCUGGGAGGUCGUUGACAAGGAAGAAAUGGAACGUCCGCUGCACUAUCGAGAGCGAGUCUUACCCAUCCUCCACUCUUUUGGCACCGACUCCCAUCUUCUCAUCAAGAAACACGUCGCUAUGGAAGCGAUGAUCAUCUACUUGGCCAGCAAGGUUGACCCGUCCAAACACGGCAUGAUGAAAUUCCGGGAGGAACGAAGCAUCCUGGGCUUGGGGUUGUCUUCCGGCAGUUUCCACGACCGCUAUUUCAUCCUGAACUCCAGCUCGCUGCGGAUGUACAAGGAAGUCCGAAGUAACCGUCCGGAACGGGACUGGCCCGUCAAGAACCUGAGGGUCUACUUGGGGAUCAAGAAGAAAGUCCGUCCCCCAACGUGUUGGGGCCUGACUGUGGUCUACGAGAGCAAAAAACAGGACAAGCCGGAGAGACAACAGUGGUAUCUCUGUUGUGAGACUCAACCCGAAAUGAGGGAGUGGUACGCAACUUUUCACAGUAUUCAGAACGACGGCGACGUGUGGCCACAGGACGGACUCCAGCCGAGCCGCGCCAGCCGCGCGCCGCCCGACUCGCGCCACGGUAACGUGUCGCUGAUACCGCUGCGCGGCAGCGAGAAUGAGAUGCGGAACAGCGUAGCAGCUUUCAGCCAAGAUCCGCUUGCUCUCUUUAGAGACGUUCGAUAAUGGAGGCUGCGGGAAAGAAAACAUCCGCAGCGGUUUUACCGGGUCCCCGCGGCUGCUUAUUCGGAGAUUUUGCCGACCGCCGUCGGAGAGAUCGAAGAUGAAAAGGCGCCCGGUUGUUAUUGCGCCGCAGCUGCUUGUCUGGAAACCGGAGUGCCCACCCGGAGGAAACCCACGCGAGCACGAGGAGAACAUGCAAACUCCACACAGGCGGGUCCGGGAUCGAACCCGGGACCUCAGAACUGUGAGGGCCGCUGUUCGGCGUCGUCAGGUGACCUCGCCGCCCUCCGGUGACGUCGUCGGCGCCUGGAUGCCGGCGGGGACCGGAGGGAGCAAAAAUGGAGCGAAAGUAAACGGACGAGAGGGCCAUGGUUCGAUUUCCCCCUCCCUGCACAGUUGAAAGUUUACAGUUUUGAUGUUUUUGAUCGCAUCACGGAACUAAAGAGUUCGAGCACAUCCCGAAGGAAACGUCAGUUCUUCUGGCGUAUUUGUUUUGAAGAAGGAUUUACCCAUUCCGUUUGAUUUUGUUGUUAUUGUUUUUAAAUACAUAAGACAAACGUACUGGUUACUGCAAUUCCGAACGCAAUCAUUGCUAUUGUACCCAAACCAUAAUGUGACGGCCGAGGCGGUCUCGGUUCGAAGGCCGCAUCGAGAUCGCCAUUUUAUUUUGAAGUCGCCUUCCUGUUUCACGUCCGUUUUUCAGCGAGUUUGUGAAAAGACUGCGCACCUGUGCGUCGGUCCCCUUGUGUCAAUUGUUCUUAUUUAUUUAGGCUGCCGAGGGUGUAAGAUGAAGAGUGCUGAAGUCAUUUUUUUUUUUUUUUUGCGUGUGCGGAGGGGGGAGUAAGAUUUUUGUAUUUUAUCCUUAGUCAUUACAAUGUCGUUACUAACUACAACGUACACAUCAUCGCCACACGUUUGUAAAAUAAAACAAAUGGAGGGCGUUUUGCCCGCGAAAGAAAUCAA
Molecule: RNA transcript, 5963 nt
Organism: Syngnathoides biaculeatus (alligator pipefish)
Lineage: Eukaryota; Metazoa; Chordata; Actinopteri; Syngnathiformes; Syngnathidae
Gene name: arf-GAP with Rho-GAP domain, ANK repeat and PH domain-containing protein 1-like
Exons: 36
Source: RefSeq, a predicted model, not a curated record